UGGAAGAAGAUUACCCCUCUGUAACCAUUCUCAAAACCUUCUACUUUGUUAGCCAAAAAAUAAUCUCAGGAGGACAGCAGCACUCCAGUGUCUCCCCAGCAGCUUCGGUCACCUGAGAAAAGUUCUGUCAGUGGGAUUAUUUCUCUGCUGGUAAACUUCCCACCUGACAUUCAUUUACAUGAUUGAAAUGUAGACUUCAGAUGCCUGACUCCAUUCCUUUCUUCACUGCUUGACUCCCUGUGUAGCCAUGGCUCCCAUGGGGAAGAUGUGUGAGGUGAACACCAGAAGGAAGCACCAGCACAGGAGUUAACCACAUGACUAGCUAAAGGUCUGGAAUGAGAAUAUCUUGGACUUAGUCCCAUUCUUUUUUGUAUGACUACAGAAGAGGAUUUGCAAGCAAAGGGAGAAGGAAAAAGUGGGAAAGUACUGUGGAUAUUUCUCAAAACAAGUUGACCAUUAUGGAUUUCGUGUUAUCAAAGCCAUGGUUGCAACUCUAGGCUGUUUGGACUCCAAAUCAUCUCAUAUUCUUCAGAUUCUCUGGAAUGAGUUAGCAGAACAGCUUUUACUGAAAAAAAAAUCCAGCUGACUGAAGAAAAGCCCUCAGAUGGGACUUUCUUCUGCAGGCAAACAGAUUUCAAAAUAUGAAAAUUCUCUGAGAGAGAAUCCUUCCUUUUUCCACAUAGCACUAUUUCCAAGAAACUGCAUAGCCAUGUUGAAGAUCUUUAAAUAACCACUGAAUACUUCUGUUCUACCAGCAAAGUAAUGUUGUACUUUUGAUUGUCAAAAACAUUUAGAUAAUGAACACCCAUUGAUUCCUCCAUAAAGAUAUAUGGGGGGGGGGGGGGGGGGGGAUGGGGAGAUAUUCUCAGUUCUGGAUUUCAAAUCCUUCCAUUUAAAUCACAGCAAUAAAAAGAGCACAUUGGACAUGGCUUAGUUAAUUCAUUUUGUAUUGCUUUUAUUUUGAUUUAAUGAGAAUGCUGUUAAGGAGAGCACAAUGCAUAAGGAGAGCUGAUGGCUGGAAAUGGGAUCUAUUUAGGUUAGAAGUCAGGUACAGAUAUUUAGCAGUGAGGUUAUUUAACCUUCAGAAGAGCUUACUCUUACCAAAAACUGUGGUGAAUUUUUCAUCCCUGCAAUUUGUUUUUUAACCCAGAUUGAACAUAAUUUAGGGCAUCCCUAUUAACUGGGCUAUAUGGGACAUCAGGCUAAUGAAUAGGAAUGU
Molecule: long non-coding RNA, 1219 nt
Organism: Oenanthe melanoleuca
Lineage: Eukaryota; Metazoa; Chordata; Aves; Passeriformes; Muscicapidae
Exons: 6
Source: RefSeq, a predicted model, not a curated record